GGUUAAGCGACUAAGCGUACACGGUGGAUGCCCUGGCAGUCAGAGGCGAUGAAGGACGUGCUAAUCUGCGAAAAGCGUCGGUAAGGUGAUAUGAACCGUUAUAGCCGGCGAUGUCCGAAUGGGGAAACCCAGUGUGAUUCGUCACACUAUCGUUAACUGAAUACAUAGGUUAACGAGGCGAACCGGGGGAACUGAAACAUCUAAGUACCCCGAGGAAAAGAAAUCAACCGAGAUUCCCCCAGUAGCGGCGAGCGAACGGGGAGCAGCCCAGAGUCUGAAUCAGCUUGUGUGUUAGUGGAACGGUCUGGAAAGUCCGACGGUACAGGGUGAUAGUCCCGUACACCAAAAUGCACAGGUUGUGAACUCGAAGAGUAGGGCGGGACACGUGGUAUCCUGUCUGAAUAUGGGGGGACCAUCCUCCAAGGCUAAAUACUCCUGACUGACCGAUAGUGAACCAGUACCGUGAGGGAAAGGCGAAAAGAACCCCGGCGAGGGGAGUGAAAAAGAACCUGAAACCGUGUACGUACAAGCAGUGGGAGCACCUUCGGGUGUGACUGCGUACCUUUUGUAUAAUGGGUCAGCGACUUAUAUUCUGUAGCAAGGUUAACCGUAUAGGGGAGCCGCAGGGAAACCGAGUCUUAACUGGGCGUUAAGUUGCAGGGUAUAGACCCGAAACCCGGUGAUCUAGCCAUGGGCAGGUUGAAGGUUGGGUAACACUAACUGGAGGACCGAACCGACUAAUGUUGAAAAAUUAGCGGAUGACUUGUGGCUGGGGGUGAAAGGCCAAUCAAACCGGGAGAUAGCUGGUUCUCCCCGAAAGCUAUUUAGGUAGCGCCUCGUGAACUCAUCUUCGGGGGUAGAGCACUGUUUCGGCUAGGGGGUCAUCCCGACUUACCAACCCGAUGCAAACUACGAAUACCGAAGAAUGUUAUCACGGGAGACACACGGCGGGUGCUAACGUCCGUCGUGAAGAGGGAAACAACCCAGACCGCCAGCUAAGGUCCCAAAGUCAUGGUUAAGUGGGAAACGAUGUGGGAAGGCACAGACAGCCAGGAUGUUGGCUUAGAAGCAGCCAUCAUUUAAAGAAAGCGUAAUAGCUCACUGGUCGAGUCGGCCUGCGCGGAAGAUGUAACGGGGCUAAACCAUGCACCGAAGCUGCGGCAGCGACACUAUGUGUUGUUGGGUAGGGGAGCGUUCUGUAAGCCUGCGAAGGUGUGCUGUGAGGCAUGCUGGAGGUAUCAGAAGUGCGAAUGCUGACAUAAGUAACGAUAAAGCGGGUGAAAAGCCCGCUCGCCGGAAGACCAAGGGUUCCUGUCCAACGUUAAUCGGGGCAGGGUGAGUCGACCCCUAAGGCGAGGCCGAAAGGCGUAGUCGAUGGGAAACAGGUUAAUAUUCCUGUACUUGGUGUUACUGCGAAGGGGGGACGGAGAAGGCUAUGUUAGCCGGGCGACGGUUGUCCCGGUUUAAGCAUGUAGGCUGAUUGUCCAGGCAAAUCCGGAUAAUCAAGGCUGAGGUGUGAUGACGAGGCACUACGGUGCUGAAGUAACAAAUGCCCUGCUUCCAGGAAAAGCCUCUAAGCAUCAGGUAACAUCAAAUCGUACCCCAAACCGACACAGGUGGUCAGGUAGAGAAUACCAAGGCGCUUGAGAGAACUCGGGUGAAGGAACUAGGCAAAAUGGUGCCGUAACUUCGGGAGAAGGCACGCUGGUGUGUAGGUGAAGUCCCUGCGGAUGGAGCUGAGACCAGUCGAAGAUACCAGCUGGCUGCAACUGUUUAUUAAAAACACAGCACUGUGCAAACACGAAAGUGGACGUAUACGGUGUGACGCCUGCCCGGUGCCGGAAGGUUAAUUGAUGGGGUUAUCCGUAAGGAGAAGCUCUUGAUCGAAGCCCCGGUAAACGGCGGCCGUAACUAUAACGGUCCUAAGGUAGCGAAAUUCCUUGUCGGGUAAGUUCCGACCUGCACGAAUGGCGUAAUGAUGGCCAGGCUGUCUCCACCCGAGACUCAGUGAAAUUGAACUCGCUGUGAAGAUGCAGUGUACCCGCGGCAAGACGGAAAGACCCCGUGAACCUUUACUAUAGCUUGACACUGAACAUUGAGCCUUGAUGUGUAGGAUAGGUGGGAGGCUUUGAAGCGUGGACGCCAGUCUGCGUGGAGCCAACCUUGAAAUACCACCCUUUAAUGUUUGAUGUUCUAACGUUGGCCCCUGACCGGGGUUGCGGACAGUGUCUGGUGGGUAGUUUGACUGGGGCGGUCUCCUCCCAAAGCGUAACGGAGGAGCACGAAGGUUAGCUAAUCCUGGUCGGACAUCAGGAGGUUAGUGCAAUGGCAUAAGCUAGCUUGACUGCGAGCGUGACGGCGCGAGCAGGUGCGAAAGCAGGUCAUAGUGAUCCGGUGGUUCUGAAUGGAAGGGCCAUCGCUCAACGGAUAAAAGGUACUCCGGGGAUAACAGGCUGAUACCGCCCAAGAGUUCAUAUCGACGGCGGUGUUUGGCACCUCGAUGUCGGCUCAUCACAUCCUGGGGCUGAAGUAGGUCCCAAGGGUAUGGCUGUUCGCCAUUUAAAGUGGUACGCGAGCUGGGUUUAGAACGUCGUGAGACAGUUCGGUCCCUAUCUGCCGUGGGCGCUGGAGAAUUGAGGGGGGCUGCUCCUAGUACGAGAGGACCGGAGUGGACGCAUCACUGGUGUUCGGGUUGUCAUGCCAAUGGCACUGCCCGGUAGCUAAAUGCGGAAGAGAUAAGUGCUGAAAGCAUCUAAGCACGAAACUUGCCCCGAGAUGAGUUCUCCCUGAGACUUUAAGUCUCCUGAAGGAACGUUGAAGACGACGACGUUGAUAGGCCGGGUGUGUAAGCGCAGCGAUGCGUUGAGCUAACCGGUACUAAUGAACCGUGAGGCUUAACCUU
Molecule: ribosomal RNA, 2902 nt
Filed under: Klebsiella pneumoniae subsp. pneumoniae
Lineage: Bacteria; Pseudomonadati; Pseudomonadota; Gammaproteobacteria; Enterobacterales; Enterobacteriaceae
Description: 23S ribosomal RNA
Rfam family: Bacterial large subunit ribosomal RNA
Source: RNAcentral